RNAcentral lists this non-coding RNA (177 nucleotides) under Aceticella autotrophica. RNAcentral's name for it is "6S / SsrS RNA". It matches the Rfam family "6S / SsrS RNA". From Rfam's summary of the family: E. coli 6S RNA was the first non coding RNA to be sequenced, but its function was unknown until recently. The record is from Rfam by way of RNAcentral. Lineage: Bacteria; Bacillati; Bacillota; Clostridia; Thermoanaerobacterales; Thermoanaerobacteraceae.
AGAAUCCUGGGAAGUUUGUCAACGGUAUUUUGUUUUCAACCAACACUAUGACAUUGGGAAUCUGAACUCCUUUGUGGAUGAAAAGCCUGCAUCGACAGGACUUCAGAAAUAAAGGAUAGGAUACCCACCUGCGAGAGCGGGCUUGAAAACAUAACCGGACGGCUUCACGGGAUGAUG